UUACGACUGAAAUGUAGCAAUGGGCAAUUACUCUUGAUGUAAUUGAAUUGCUCUUCAAACGAAUUUGUUUUCAAUGGGCAACACUGCACAAAACGAUUAUUCUUUCUAUAAGAAUAAAUAAAACAGUAUUUACUCAGUCAUAUCUAUGGUUGCUCAUUCAUCCAUAAAUUCAUUUAUCCAAAAAACAAUGCUUAGGCAUCUAUUAUAUGCAGGCACUCUAGUGGGUGCAGAAGAAACAGAGGUGAAUGCAGUGGACAGGAUUCCUAUGUCAGGAAACUCGAAUUCUCAGGUUGGGCACGGCCAGGGAGAGCCCGGCAUGGGUAUUUGCUUUCUCCCUUGGCAUAAGCCUUGUUUAUAAUCUCAGCUUAAACUUUAUCUACACCUGCAGCUUCAGGCAAGAGAGGAAGAAGCAGUGGAGAAAUCAAGCCUGGCAGUGAUGGGGACACUUGAUAUGGCAUAAGCCUCUCCUCCCUCCAUCCCAAACUGCCAGGGUGCAAGAAUCAUUCCCAGAGUGGCUCCGGAGCUUCUGCUUAGGGCUGACAACCAGCUGGGAAUUGGAGCAAGCCCUUCUCUUGAGGAUGAGCGAGGAGCAAAGAAGACAUGGUCCCUGGUUUUAAGGAAUUCGGUCCAGCUGGGAAAACAAGGAGAGGAAGAAGGGUUCAGGCAGCGGAAGCAGCUACUAAGGACUCUACUCAGGAAAUUGCAGUACAGCAUGAUGGGGCAAGAAAAAGCCAGGCCAGACGCACUUGCUGUGAUGUGUUCAUAUCUGAGAGAAUCUGACAUUGUUGGGGGAUGGAGGCCCUGGAGUUUUCAAAUACUGAAUGACUGGUGUUGACCUUUAGCUGGCCAUGUUCUCUGUGCCAGAGCCAAGAACAAUCCACAGGUAUUAUUGACUUAGUGACUUAAAGCUGCCAAAGAGGAUCCGGGAUGGAACCAACAUAGGGAUGCAGGUCUGUAAAAAGGAUAAAAUUAAAUAUUGUACAGAAGUGGCCUUGUGCUUUCACAGCCUCCACAUUAGUAGAUAAAAACCAUCUUAUUUCUACUUUAUGGAUACGAAACUGAAGGAAUAAGGAAACAAGUAUAUCCAGCAUUUAUUAUUUUUAACAGAAGCACAGUGCUGAGUUUUGGAACAUACAGAGAAAUAAGCUAAAGUCAAUACCCUCCAAGCAGUCACAAACUAGUGGACAUGGCUGACUGUGAAAAAGCACAAUAAUAAAGACACAGAAUACAAUGGGAGGAUGACGUCUAAUAGCUGGAAGGUUUUGGAAGGAUUCCUCGGAGAUGGAAUCUGAGUCAGACGUGAUGGGUAGUGAGUAUUCUACAGAAAAAGUGGGAUAGCAGAGGGAAUAGUGAGCUAAGGCACCGAAAAGGAUAUACCAUGAGAAUCUGUGAGUUUUCUCACAGGAUUUAAGAGCAGGGCAGGGGUAGAAGGGAUAUAAUGUGUUCAAGGGAUUUGUAGAUGUCCUCAAAUGCCAUCUCUAGUAGCAAUGCAGAGAAAAGUUAGGGAGGCAGGGAAAUAAUUUAGGAGGCCAUUGUGAUAGUUCAGGAAAGAGGUAAUGGAGGCUUAAACUAAGCAGUAGAAAGAAAGAUAGUGAUAGCAGAAGUAGAAUCUAUCUAACUGGCAAGUGACUGGGCACAGACCGUGAAGGAGGAGGAUGCGUUGAAGAUGAUACUGACAUUAAUUUGCAUCAGUGAACACAUUACUUUUGAGCUUACUCUUGGGAAUUUCUAUUAGGGAGGAGGAAAAGUGGGUCUAGAAAUCAGGAUGUAUAUCAACCACAGGGAUAUGAUGUUUGAAUCCAUAUAAGUGGAAGAAAUCACCACGGAAUAGAGUACAAAGAAAAAAACGCACACACAAAAACACUUUAAAAUGCAGGAAGCACCUGCAUUUUAAGGCAAAGAGGGGGCAUGAAGGCGGAGGAUUCAUUGCUCUCACCUGAAUGGUCCGUCUGAGAGGAAAGCAGAUGAUGCAAGGUGAUAGAAAUCAAGGAAGAAACUUUCCAGAAAGGCAGCUCAGCUGCUGAGGGCACGAGGAGAAAGCAAUUUCCUGUGGUCAUAGAGGUCAAAUCCAAGCUCCUAAACUCCACACCUACCUACUCAAUUACCAUGUGUGAAAAACGAUGUGGUUUUUCAAGAGGAACCUAAUUCUCAUUUUACCAAUGUGAAUCGGUGGGAAUGGGUGAUCAAAAUAAAUUGCAAUUUCCAAUCUUUAUUAAACGUUCUUUGCCGCUCACACUAUUUUCCUUACAUUGAGCUUUUAAGAUAACUAUUAUCAGUCAAGUGCGAGGCCUUCCCUGCCCUCCUUCAUUUCACCCUUGUGGUUACAUGCGAGGACUUCUGAGUCACAGAAGCUGGUUGGAAUCUAACACAGCAGAUGAGGCUUGUAACUUAACUUCUCCGAUCUCAGCUUCCUCGUUUGCAAAAUGGGACCGGGGUACUUACCAAUUAAAGUUGCCAAAAGUACAUGAGCGAUUACAAGGAAAACUCAGCACAUUGCCGUCAAAGGCUCGAUUCAUUUUUGCCUUUAAUGUUUUGCAAUCUCGGUGAGGGCAGAGGACAAUUCCAAAAGAGUAUGCAUUUAGGGACUACUAUUCCUUAUGGCGUGCAGCACUGACCUGAGGCCAUGUGAGCCUCAUCUAGCCGGCACUCACGGAAAUGUAUUUGCAGGAAAAAGGAUAAAGAGCUGACAGGUUCCUGGGAACUAUGCAACCCACAAAGGGAGGGCUGGUGCAAGACGCCAGGGAAAGCCGGAUCGCAGGAACGGCCCGUGCUCCUCGGAGAACCACACGUCCCAGGGUGCAGCGCGCCCACCCCGGAAUUUUAGCCCGGCGGAUCCAACUGCGAGAGCGCCGAGGAGGGAGCAGUGCACGCUGGGACCGGUAGUUUUCAGGUCUCAAGUUCACGGGUCGGAGGACGGCCGAGGCUAGAGGUCCCUCCCCAGUCCCGCCUUUUGUCCACGUCUCACUUCUGCUGGCCAAUACCCUCUCCUGUCCCCGGAGCCAGCCCCUCUCUGAUCCGGUCCCCAUUGGUCCUGAGGCUCAGCGUCUGGGGCCCUACCCGGAAGUCGCGUUGGGGG
Molecule: long non-coding RNA, 3076 nt
Organism: Phacochoerus africanus (Common warthog)
Lineage: Eukaryota; Metazoa; Chordata; Mammalia; Artiodactyla; Suidae
Exons: 4
Source: RefSeq, a predicted model, not a curated record